This is a long non-coding RNA of Raphanus sativus (radish), 1315 nucleotides long. RefSeq lists it as uncharacterized. Lineage: Eukaryota; Viridiplantae; Streptophyta; Magnoliopsida; Brassicales; Brassicaceae. The transcript has 2 exons. The record is from RefSeq and is a predicted model, not a curated record.
UUUAAUCACUCCAGGUUGUGCCACGUAGGCAUCCAGGUCAGAAACUCUAUAUCUGCCGUCUUGACACGUGUCCGCUUUGUGCUAAACGCACCGUUCCAUUUAUUCGCUAUGUUUGUGGGCUUUCUGGUGUGCUGUAUGUUUGAGUCUACUUAUGCAAUUUUUUGGGCCCGGGUAAAUAGAAAAACAUGUAAACGCAGCGUUUAUACUUUAGUUGAUUAGGGCUUCACUGAUUUCCAUCUUCCACAUAUGAACUUGCCGUCUCUUUUUUUUUUUAAUCUACAGAGUUUAUGUUCUCAUCUCUUCACAUUCCAUGGAGUUCAAUGUAUUCUUAAAUCCGGCAAUAAAUGAUAUACUCAUUAAACUCUGUAACGUUCCAGACCUCUUCGUUCUUUGCCGUCAAAUCUAUAAAUAGGGUAUGCUUGCGAUGUAGAUGAACCUUCGCAAUCACUUGCAGUCUUUUUCUUUUUUUUUUUGAGCGUAGAGAGAUUCUGAGAAAAUAUCUUUUUCCAAUCCUGUUGCUACACGAUCGGCCUUGACGCUCUCCGACUAGGUAGAUCUGGCCAGUUGAUUGUCACUCGUCUGCUCUGUUUCUGGGACUCCAAAAACAUCAAAGAAGCAUGGUGAAUUGAUGGGCAUCAUCCUACUUCUUGAUGAUAAGAAUCCGUGAUCCAUGGCCUACUUGACUACUUCCGUUGUCUAAAUCAAUCCUCCGCUUAGCAUCUAAGAAUGGUCACAAGGAAGGCCGAUUUAGUUAUGGUGUUAUCCUCAUGGCCUUAGGCGUAACUGAGAAAGGUAUGAAAAUCAUCAAUAAACUGACUGAUAAGGAAGGUCUUGCUAUUGUGGACAGUUGCUGGGAGAACAUCCAGAUCUCACUAGAGCAUAUCAAUCUCACCAUGGAAAAGGUGUACGUGAAGUCCCUUGAGAAGAUGAAACCGGAUCUCAACUGCCAUCCUGCUGAGAUGAAUACAUCUUGCUCCAAUGUUUCCACUUCUUCCUGAUGAGUUCUUUGAGGUAGUGAUGGACUCAGCCCCUGGUUUUAUCUCUAGAACGAGCUUAAUGGGAAGCGUUCAUGACAAUUAAGAUUGCAUGCUUUACCUUUUCUUCUUUUCCCUUUUUUUCAUUUUAAAGUUAAUAGUAUGACAUCGUUUCCUUAUGUAAAGGGAUCACUGCCACCAAUUUCUAUAUUUUUCUUCUUGAGUUUGUAACUCUCAGCUUUGUUUCCUGUUUUCAUUUUGAAAACAAACGCUAAUAAAAAAAGCCAAAAAAAGAGGCAAUUUUAAUUGCCCAACAAAAAGUGAUUGUUUUUCAAUGAUUA